RNAcentral lists this long non-coding RNA (217 nucleotides) under Elaeis guineensis (African oil palm). RNAcentral describes it as "long non-coding RNA (EGUI_LNC000429)". The record is from RNAcentral. Lineage: Eukaryota; Viridiplantae; Streptophyta; Magnoliopsida; Arecales; Arecaceae.
UGUUAAUUUUUCUUAUGUUUUCCCCCAUUUUUCUUCCAAUUUUUUCUUUUCUCAGGAGUCCCAACCGGUUGGGAGGCUUAGAGCGGCCGAAUUGGAAGCUUAGAUGGAGGCUGUGGUUUUGGACUGGGUAAGUUAUUUUUUUUUCUCUUUUUAUUUCUAUCUUUUCCAGAGAUUUAUGGAAAGGAAAGAACUUGAAGGAAGCCAGAGAGGAAGACCC